AUUGAACGCUGGCGGCAGGCCUAACCCAUGCAAGUCGAGCGAGCGGCGGACGGGUGAGUAAUGUAUGGGGACUGCCCGAUAGAGGGGGCUAACUACUGGAAACGGUGGCUACUACCGCAUACUAUCGGAUAACCCAUAUGGGAUUGGCUAGUCGGUGGUGUAAAGGCUCACCUGGGCGACGAUCUCUCGCUGGUCUGAGAGGAUGAUCAGCCACAUUGGGACUGAGACACGGCCCAGACUCCGACGGAGGCAGCAGGGGGGAAUAUUUCACAAUGGGCGCAAGCCUGAUGCAGCCAUGCCGCGUGGAUGAAGAAGGCCUUAGGGUUGUAAAGUACUUUCAGCGGGGAGGCGUUACCCGCAGAAGAAGCACCGGCUAACUCCGUGCCAGCCGCCGCGGUAAUUC
This 403-nucleotide ribosomal RNA is filed under the name uncultured bacterium. RNAcentral describes it as "partial 16S ribosomal RNA". It matches the Rfam family "Bacterial small subunit ribosomal RNA", at positions 30 to 526 of the family's 1533-position model. The record is from RNAcentral.